Long non-coding RNA from Oryctolagus cuniculus (rabbit), 1838 nucleotides. Lineage: Eukaryota; Metazoa; Chordata; Mammalia; Lagomorpha; Leporidae. The record is from Ensembl.
AUAUAAACAAAGAAUUAAGAAGGAGGUCAAAGAGAUUAUGAUGAUGGGUUCAAUAAUCCCUUAACUCUCUACAAAGAUAGAGAGAGGAGAAAAUUGGCUGCAUUCCUAAUUUAGGAAUACACUUGGGGAGUACACAUGAAACUAUUAUUACUUCAUCACUUUUUUAUAAUUCCAAUAAAAUACCCAUGAAUUACAAGCCCUGGGUUUGGAAUAUAUGAAGGAUGAAUUGUCUAAGUGUUUUGUUCAAUUAUUUAGAAGAAUGAGUAGGGUACAUUCAUCAAACCCAUAUUUAUUAAGUCCUUCUCUGUCCUAGGUUCUUUUCUAGGUAACUAGAAGAGAAAAAAGAACAAAACAAAGGAUCUGUAUUUCGGUCUUUAUAUUCUAGCAGAAGGGGAGAAAAUAAACAAUGAACAUAAUAAGUAUGUUUUAUACAUACUAGAAGAUGAUGACCAGAGUUCACCUUAAUUACUCCCUUCUUGUCAGAUACUAUUAUUGGUUUUGGUAUUUGAGAAACCAACUGGAACAUUGAUGCUAAACUCCUUCAUCUCAAGGCAGUCACAAAACCAUUGCAACUGGGCCUAGAGCGUGCUGGAAGAUGUUCUGGCAGUACACAGAAAUCCCUUACUAACUUUGAGGUCUCACUUUACAAUUAAGCCUCUCCUUCUCUCCCUUCUUCUAGACCUUUAGAAUUCUGCCAAAUCCCACAGACCCACUGUCUCUGCCAUCUGCACUACUGGUAGCUCAGUGGUGGUUAAUGGAGGAAAAUGAUGAAGAGGAGAUGGAAUGACUUGCUCUUAUCUAUCAUCAAGGGUGGAUUUAGAGACUUUGCUGGUCUGAAAAGAAAGUCUGAAAUCUUGAAAAAUGGGGUAAAGUCCAAAUAAUAGGAGAUUACCAAUGAAGUCUCUAAAGAAACAGCUUGCCUUAGGCAGAAUAAACAUAUUAGUAAUAGCAGCUUCCUAUGGUCAUGAGGUGUCGUUCAUGACUGCUUCUCACAAAGCUUUGUUGGUGGGAGAAGGGUGAGCACAUUCAGCUGGAGCUGUCACUCACGUGGAUUGUGUCCUGCCAGGGCUGGUCAAAAGGUAUGGUUUGCUUUUGCAGUUAGGCAAGUAUUCUUUAUAUAUAUAUUUUUUUAAAUUUUAUUUAUUUAUUCAUUUAUUUUUUGACAGGCAGAGUGGACAGUGAGAGAGAGAGAGAGAGACAGAGAGAAAGGUCUUCCUUUGCCGUUGGUUCACCCCCCAAUGGCCACUGUGGCCGGCACACCGCGCUGAUCUGAAGCCAGGAGCCAGGUGUCUCCUCCUGGUCUCCCAUGCAGGUGCAGGGCCCAACCACUUGGGCCAUCCUCCACUGCACUCCCGGGCCACAGCAGAGAGCUAGACAGGAAGAGGAGCAACCGGGACAGAAUCCAGCGCCCUGACCGGGACUAGAACCCGGUGUGCUGGCGCCGCAGGCAGAGGAUUAGCCUGGUGAGCUGUGGUGCCGGCCAAGUAUUCUUUCCCAUUAAUUUUCUCCUUACUUUGCUCUGUCUUUUUUAUUUUUCUACCACUGUAGUGCUAACGUCUAGAAUGUGUAUUAUAAUUCACUAUCUAUCUACUUUAGAGUAAGAAACCUGAGGCACUGGUAAAGUCCCAUGUUCUUGAAACCAAUCUUACAUAUUCUGAAUUGGUUUUUAUGAGCUUGAAGUGGUAGAAAAUGUAUUUUACAAGGCAUUCCGCACCCCUUCCACAGCCAGAAAACCUGAUUUACAAUUGAGUAUGAGAAACAUUGACUUUAAGAGAGAAGAAUUAAGCAGCUAUGCUACUUUUAGGCAAGAGCUUUGUGAUUUACCUUGGUCUAGUACA